RNAcentral lists this ribosomal RNA (266 nucleotides) under uncultured bacterium. RNAcentral's name for it is "partial 16S ribosomal RNA". It matches the Rfam family "Bacterial small subunit ribosomal RNA", at positions 92 to 354 of the family's 1533-position model. The record is from RNAcentral.
CGACCGGCGCACGGGUNAGUAACACGUAUGCAACCUGGCCGUCACAGGUGGAUAACCGGAAGAAAUUCCGACUAAUACAGCAUAACACUCCUGAGGGACAUCCUUCGGGAGUCAAAGGAGGCAACUCCGGUGACGGAUGGGCAUGCGGCGCAUUAGGUAGUUGGUAGGGUAACGGCCUACCAAGCCGACGAUGCGUAGGGGUUCUGAGAGGAAGGUCCCCCACAUUGGAACUGAGACACGGUCCAAACUCCUACGGAAGGCAGCAG